RNAcentral lists this long non-coding RNA (205 nucleotides) under Capsicum annuum. RNAcentral's name for it is "long non-coding RNA (CANN_LNC008486)". Lineage: Eukaryota; Viridiplantae; Streptophyta; Magnoliopsida; Solanales; Solanaceae. The record is from RNAcentral.
UUUAUUAGUUCUUAAUACUUUCUUGCUAUUUCCAGUUAAAUUUGAAAACCAUAAUUUUACUGAUCCUAUUAGUGUUCUUUCUUUCUAUAUAUUCUGGUGCAUCUGUUACGUUUAUAUUAUUAUCUAAUAAUUGUUUUGUCAUAUAUCCUAUCCAUAAUUGUAUUGUUUUUUCUGUAUCUAUUACACAGUCUAGAUCUAAAAAGUU